GUCUACGGCCAUACCACCCUGAACACGCCCGAUCUCGUCUGAUCUCAGAAGCUAAGCAGGGUUGGGCCUGGUUAGUACUUGGAUA
This 85-nucleotide ribosomal RNA is filed under the name Dipodomys ordii (Ord's kangaroo rat). The record is from RNAcentral. Lineage: Eukaryota; Metazoa; Chordata; Mammalia; Rodentia; Heteromyidae.